Long non-coding RNA from Anguilla anguilla (European eel), 4437 nucleotides. RefSeq lists it as uncharacterized. The transcript has 3 exons. NCBI's taxonomy places the organism in Eukaryota, Metazoa, Chordata, Actinopteri, Anguilliformes, Anguillidae. The record is from RefSeq and is a predicted model, not a curated record.
UUUUUUUUGCCUUUCUCUACCUUAGGAUCUCUUGUGUUUUUUCUUCACUCUGCUCUUCUCUCACAGUCUUUAAUUCAUUCCUCUUUUGUUUGCAGCUCUCUCCAUCUGCCUCUGUCUUCCUUCUCUGUCAUUCCGCCUGUCCUUCCCAUACUCAGGUUAACAUAUACGCAUGACAAUCUUCCUGCGCAGGUUUUUUGCCUUUACUUCUUUCCUUCUCCCUGCUUAUGACGUCUGCUUGCUUUUUUAUUAUUCAUUCCUCUCCUGUUAGCCUUUUCCUUCAAUUCCUGCACUUAAAUUUACUCUUUAAACCCUCCUCUCUCUCUUUCUCUCUCUCUCUUGUGCUCUCUCUCUCUCUCUCUCUCUCUCUCUCUCCCUGUGCCCCUGAGGGCAUACUGUCAUCCACAAAGAUGUGGUUCUAAUUUAUUCUCUGUCUCUGCUAUCUCUCCUCAACUCCCCUCCUGCUUUCUAUCUACCUACUAUCUAUCUACUAACUGAAGUCAGUACUUUACAUGCACGUUCAUAAAUUGCAAGUAUAGACAAAGUUAAUACUAUUAGGGAAAGAAAAAUACCUCAGAAGAAAGAUGUCAAAAGAACAGCAAUCAGGUAAGAUAAUAGCAAAAGAGGUUGACAAACUAUGUGGACUAACCAGACUGUACAGUAUAUCACACUGCUACUGACCGGAGCAUUGGGGUAGAAGGUGGGGGGUGGGCAGGAAACAUUAUGUCAUCCGUAUACAAGUCAAUACAAAUGUUGAAAGAUAAAUUAAAUAGCAUGUGCUAAAAAGGAAUUGAAAAAAGGAGUACAUGCGGAUUACCUGUGAUGUCUAUUAAGCAGAAGAAAAACAUGAGUAGAAACACAAGGAGACUUUGAGGACACCACAUAUUUAAACCACGGAGUAAAACAGACGCAGGCAUUUAAGAAAGCAAAAACGAACAUCGGACAAGAGUGAGCGUCUACACAUCUAGAUGAAGAAAGUUAAAAGAAGAUUAAUAAAAAUCCGAAUAAAUGAAAAGCAACAUCGACGGAGGAUCGGAACAACGAUAUGGAUAAUCGUUUUGAGCUGUCCUGAAGUGCCGAGUGCGUUUCAGAUUUCAGAACGUCGGACAGCGCGCGCACACUGUUCGCUUGUUUACCCGUAAGAGGGGAAUACACGUUCAGCUGUUUCCCAGCACUUUAUAUUAAUUGUGCAAUAUUUUGUAAUUUCAUCGUUACAAGACAUUUAAGAUUUACCACAUUUGUGCGCUGUAAUUUUGUCGCAAAUGCAACGAUACAUAACCGAAUGUUCUUUUAUGUCGUAUGUUUUCUUUCCUGAAUGCGGCGCUUGCCACAUUUAUGACCAUAAAACCAUCAGCUAUUCCCUCUAUAUCAGUCCAAUGGCUCAAUGGGAUUUUGCGUUAGCCACAAUGUUGGUGGAAGAAUGGGAUUUCAAAGAGAAAAUGUGCUGUUCAUUUAAAAAACUUUCAUCGGGGUCAUACCCUGGACAAGAAAAGCAUUUAGGAAGAGCAGCUGGAGAAAAUGAAGUACAAGGAAGAGAGUGUACUGAGGAGACACUCACAGGACGAAGGGAGGUACUGCAGAAGCACAAAAUACUGCAGUCUCCCCCUCCCUUUCAGUGCAGCAUAGAUGAACUACAAUAUCCUCUCUGUCCGAAUGCUGGGUGAUGGAUCUUACUUUCUUGGCCCUGCCUGGAUGGUCCUCGCACCAGGAGGAUUUGUCUAAUACUCCCCUCUAGUGGUACUUGCCUGCUGAAGUGCCUGUGUUGUGCCUGAGCUGCAGUAAAAGGAUAAGAUCUUUGACCAACUGGGGCCUUGCGUACCUCAAGCUGUCUGUACAAUGCCUGACUAAAAAUAAACAAUGUAUAUAGGGCCAUGACACAGGUUAUGAAAUCAACACAUUGCAGUACUUUUAUCACUUCAGUUUAAUUAUUAAAUUACCACUAGGGAGACCAAUCUUAUCAAAGAAGUUCAGAUGUAGUGCAGGUUUUUGUUAUAGCUCAGCAUUAUGACACCUGAUUUAACCAACUAAUUAUAAACUAAGAACCUAAUCAAUUGAAUCAGGUGUUUUACAACUGAUUAAACUAAUCUACAACAAAAAAAAUGUUUUUGGUGUAAAACUAGCCCACUGUAGGUAAGACACAACACUCAUGGUUUAGAAUUGUACCCUUGCACCAACAAAUUCUGCAGGUGGUUUGAUUGUGCAAGUGGCAUGGAUCCUUUAACUGCUUGCCACUGAUUACUUUAAUUACAUACAGUGAUGCCUUGAGGAUAAUGACUGAAAUGCAAGUUAAAUGUUUCCCAACCCUAGUCACAUGUUCAGGAAGAAAGCCAUGGUCCUAAGAUGAAAUGGAUGACAUUACACAUAUGCUUGUUAAUGUUUUGGGACAGUUCUGGAAUACAUGUAAAUACAUUAAAAAAAUAUAUUACAAGUAAUAUUAUAUUAUUGACUUCUGUCUGUUCUGGCCCUCUGGUGGUGAAAUGAGCUUCCCACUGUAGUCAGAACUGCAGAAACCCUGCCCUUCUUUUAACGGAGCCUGAAGACUCAACUCUUUGGAUUGCACCAUGGUGCCCCUGACUCACUUAUCUAUUCUUCAAAUUUCCUUUUGGAAUAAUGUUAUAGGCAUAACUUUAUAGAGAUUAUCAGUCCAGUGGUAUUUUCUUUUGUUACAAUACAAAUUGUUGCCUGUUAGGUUAACGUUGCACUUAAUGAUUAUAAAUGGACCUUUUGUAUUCCUUAGACUAACACUGAUGUCCUUCCCUUUGGAUAAGAGCAACUUCUAAGUGAUUGUAAUCUAAUGUAAUGCAACAUAAUUGUGUAAAUAUUAAUGAUAUCCGUAAUGUAUUUUUGCUCCUUUCCUCCCACUAUCUAAUUGAGGAGCAGUUUAGCUACUCAUUGCUACCUUAACAAUUUGAAAUUUGGCUCACUCUUUUCUUCUCCAUCAUACUUUUAAAGAUGGCAUGCAGGCCUUGAGAGUCCCUAAUGAACAAAUUGCUCUCCCGCACUCAUGGUGGACAUACGGCGUCCCUAACCCCCUUAUUUGUACUUUUCCAUCCUAUUUUCACCCCUCAAAGUGCUCCCUCACCUGAAUAUUCAUUGUGCCUGGAGUUUCUUACACCUCACUGGCCUACCUGCUGACCUCCAUUACUCAGUCACAGUUUCUCGGUUUACGGUAAGAGCAAACGGAACUACGAAGUGGAAUGCAAUCCCUGCUCUGCCAAAAUGAAAGCAAAAAUGGGUAUCCACCUUUCUAUAGGCAGCCUUAAAAUUAAAACACUUAAACAGCUAGUCACAGUAACCGUCGUCCAACUUGUGAGACGAGCUUUGCUGAGGUGACGGUGCAAAGCACAUAGUGAUCUUUUAUGUUUAUUAUGAGUGUAAAUAAACAUUUUGGCUUUUUCUUGAACUAUGGCAGGACAAAAUAACCUGUGGUGGGCCACAACAGCUUAGUUAAUGGGAAACACUGUGAUUAUAAAUUUGAAAAAUAUAAAAACAAAGCACCACAUUGGGCACUAUGGGCAGAAGUAUGUAGGUAUUUUUGUAGCAAAAGUCACAAAUCUGUAGAAUGGUUUCACAAAUCUGUAGAAUGGAUUCACAAAUCUGUAGAAUGGAUUCACAAAUCUGUAAAUGGUUUCACAAAUUUGUAGAAUAGAUUCACAAAUCUGUAGAAUGGUUUCACAAAUCCGUAGAAUGGUUUCACAAAUCUGUAGAAUGGAUUCACAAAUCGGUAAAUGGUUUCACAAAUCUGUAGAUUGGGAAAUUGAAGACCCCUUUCAAUUAAAGGGCAAGACUUGUGUGUGCACAGUUAUAACACUGGUAGGUGUAGCUGUAUCUUAAGCUUCUGUGUGCUGCCUGGAAGUAUAGAUCUAUGUGUUUUGAAUCAUGAUGCUACAAAUGUUGUAAGACCUAGAUCUUUGUGUAGUCUAAGGAUGACCUUUUGACUGGGUCAGAAGAAUUUUGCUGCCCACCCACGCAGUUUCUGCAAGUAGGUAUACUGGAACCCUCUGAUGCCAGAAGGGAGCAGGUGGUGGUUGGCAGUCCUGCAGGACCACAGCUUCCUCACAUACAGGUCUGCACACUUCAGAUGAACUAAAAAGCAGAUCACGUGAUGUCCACUGCCUUUGUUAAGCUCAGUGCCUUGGUUGGACAGCUGCUUAGGCGCUGCUGAAUGAAGUGGUGGCGUAUUGUACACUACCUCUGGUAGAGAACUACUACAAAUUUUUGCAUUUUCUUACUAUUCUGAAGAUUCUCCAUUUCUGUGCUGAGGUUUAUCCAUUUGGCUUCUGAUUUAGUUAAUCUUUAUUCCAUGAAGGGAAAUAAAAUGCCAUUUGUUCAAUGCAUUAACAGUUUUAGUCUUUUAUCCACUCAGCACCCACCAUGGCGCCCACACAGAUCACCUUGUCAUACUCCCUGUUUCAGUUUGAAGUACGCAAGCAUACGAAG